UACCGCUUCCACUACAUCAACAUCCUGUCGAGGCUGCCAGAGACUCUGCCAUCCCUGGAGGAGGACACGCUGGGCAACUUCAUCUUCGCCUGCCGCUUCAACCAGGUCUCCUGCAACCAGGCGAAUUACUCUCACUUCCACCACCCGAUGUAUGGAAACUGCUAUACUUUCAAUGACAAGAACAACUCCAACCUCUGGAUGUCUUCCAUGCCUGGAAUCAACAAUGUGACUGGGGCCCGUGUAAUGGUGCACGGGCAGGAUGAACCUGCCUUUAUGGAUGAUGGUGGCUUUAACUUGCGGCCUGGCGUGGAGACCUCCAUCAGCAUGAGGAAGGAAGCCCUGGACAGACUUGGGGGUGAUUAUGGCGACUGCACCAAGAAUGGCAGUGAUGUCCCUGUCAAGAACCUUUACCCUUCAAAGUACACACAGCAG
Molecule: small RNA, 432 nt
Filed under: Pongo abelii (Sumatran orangutan)
Lineage: Eukaryota; Metazoa; Chordata; Mammalia; Primates; Hominidae
Description: processed transcript
Source: RNAcentral